UACGGAGGGUGCAAGCGUUAUCCGGAUUUACUGGGUUUAAAGGGUGCGUAGGUGGGUGGAUAAGUCAGCGGUGAAAUCUCCGGGCUUAACUCGGAAACUGCCGUUGAUACUAUCUGUCUUGAAUAUCCUGGAGGUGAGCGGAAUAUGUCAUGUAGCGGUGAAAUGCUUAGAUAUGACAUAGAACACCCAUUGCGAAGGUAGCUCACUACGGGAUUAUUGACACUGAGGCACGAAAGCGUGGGGAUCAAACAGG
RNAcentral lists this ribosomal RNA (253 nucleotides) under uncultured bacterium. Its description in RNAcentral is "partial 16S ribosomal RNA". It matches the Rfam family "Bacterial small subunit ribosomal RNA", at positions 524 to 776 of the family's 1533-position model. The record is from RNAcentral.